CAGUAGCCGCGGGAACACGAAGGGGGCUAGCGUUGCUCGGAAUCACUGGGCGUAAAGGGUGCGUAGGCGGGUCUUUAAGUCAGGGGUGAAAUCCUGGAGCUCAACUCCAGAACUGCCUUUGAUACUGAAGAUCUUGAGUUCGGGAGAGGUGAGUGGAACUGCGAGUGUAGAGGUGAAAUUCGUAGAUAUUCGCAAGAACACCAGUGGCGAAGGCGGCUCACUGGCCCGAUACUGACGCUGAGGCACGAAAGCGUGGGGAGCAAACAGGAUUAGAUACCCCUGUAGUCCCUGUCUCUUAUAC
Molecule: ribosomal RNA, 301 nt
Filed under: uncultured bacterium
Lineage: Bacteria
Description: partial 16S ribosomal RNA
Rfam family: Bacterial small subunit ribosomal RNA
Source: RNAcentral